GCGCCGCUCAGUCCGGGAGACUGACCUACGGAAAAGAGAGAGAUAAACAUGAGGAUAGAACGAGACAGCGACAGCGUGCACCUGUGUACUUAAAAAUUGAAUGAUUGUUGAAACGAAACGGAUGUAAAACAAUGCAUACAUUUGAAAGGGACAGAAACAUAAACGCGCUCGCGUGCAGUACGACGCAAAAGACAAUGCUGAAAAAAUAAUCAUUACAUCGAUAGAAGCAAAUUAAACGAUAAUGAACAUUGCACCAACACAAUACAGUUCACUUUGAUUCGACGAGCCAGUUGCUACAUACGAAUCGGGCUAUGAAGAGGGCUAUGCUCGGAGUUUCUUUGCGUGAUAGAAUCCGAAACAAGGAUAUCCACAAAAGAACCAAAGUAACCACAUAGUCCGAAGGACAAGCAAGCUGAAGUGGCAAUGGGCUGAUCACAUAGAUCGAAGAACCCACAACCGAUAGGAAAAAAGAUUCUUGAGUGACGACCCCGUACGGGUAAACGUGUGUGUAAGACGACCCUUCCACUAGAAAUGACGAGCUCAAAUGCCAGUCUAUGAAGGUGGCCUAUUUCCAGCAAUGGACGGAUAACGACUGUAAUGAUAAUGACGAUGAUCCACAAUAACUUCGUACGGGUAGAUGGUUUCUUUUUAAAUAAUAUUUCGCCUAUUACUCGCUAAUAAUGUAUCAUUUUAUAGGUGAAAGAAUUUUUAAUAUUGGUUGAGUAAUUUUUGAGUUUAUCCAUUAAAAACAAACAAUCAAAUCUUUCCUAUUUAUAAUAAUAGUAUUAAAAAUAAAAAAGCUAUUUGAAUCUUCAC
Molecule: long non-coding RNA, 816 nt
Organism: Galleria mellonella (greater wax moth)
Lineage: Eukaryota; Metazoa; Arthropoda; Insecta; Lepidoptera; Pyralidae
Exons: 3
Source: RefSeq, a predicted model, not a curated record